RNAcentral lists this non-coding RNA (21 nucleotides) under Caenorhabditis elegans. Lineage: Eukaryota; Metazoa; Nematoda; Chromadorea; Rhabditida; Rhabditidae. The record is from RNAcentral.
UCCAGGAACUCAAGGGACGAU